GUGAAUCAUCAAAUCUUUGAACGCAAAUUGCGCUUCCUGGUAUCCCGGGAAGUAUUCCUGUUUGAGGGUCAGUAUUAAUAAAAACGGUUGUGUUUCUUCUUUGUGACGGUCCGGAGUUUGGGUCAUCUUAAUAUCCUGUAGGUUUUAAGAGGCUUAAAAUUGACUUUUUUUGCGCAUUGUA
RNAcentral lists this unclassified non-coding RNA (181 nucleotides) under Glomeraceae sp. RNAcentral describes it as "partial contains 5.8S ribosomal RNA and internal transcribed spacer 2". The stretch from base 1 to 71 matches the Rfam family "5.8S ribosomal RNA", at positions 84 to 154 of the family's 154-position model. The record is from RNAcentral. Lineage: Eukaryota; Fungi; Glomeromycota; Glomeromycetes; Glomerales; Glomeraceae.